Molecule: ribosomal RNA, 253 nt
Filed under: uncultured bacterium
Lineage: Bacteria
Description: partial 16S ribosomal RNA
Rfam family: Bacterial small subunit ribosomal RNA
Source: RNAcentral
UACGGAGGGUGCAAGCGUUAUCCGGAUUCACUGGGUUUAAAGGGUGCGUAGGUGGGUCUGUAAGUCAGUGGUGAAAUCUCCGUGCUUAACAUGGAAACCGCCAUUGAUACUAUAGGUCUUGAAUUUUCUGGAGGUAAGCGGAAUAUGUCAUGUAGCGGUGAAAUGCUUAGAUAUGACAUAGAACACCAAUUGCGAAGGCAGCUUACUACGGGAACAUUGACACUGAGGCACGAAAGCGUGGGGAUCAAACAGG